UGGGUACUGGCGGGGUGGCUCUGGCCGCGCUGAAGCUUGCCAAGCUUCACGGUGCCCGAGUGGCGAUCACAUCGUCAAGUGACGAG
RNAcentral lists this transfer RNA (86 nucleotides) under Pseudomonas coronafaciens. RNAcentral's name for it is "tRNA-Gly". Lineage: Bacteria; Pseudomonadati; Pseudomonadota; Gammaproteobacteria; Pseudomonadales; Pseudomonadaceae. The record is from RNAcentral.